UACGGGGGGAGCAAGCGUUGUUCGGAUUUACUGGGCGUAAAGGGCGCGUAGGCGGCCACCGCAAGUCGGUUGUGAAAUCUCCGGGCUUAACCCGGAAAGGUCAAUCGAUACUGCGGGGCUAGAGUGCAGAAGGGGCAACUGGAAUUCUCGGUGUAGCGGUGAAAUGCGUAGAUAUCGAGAGGAACACCUGCGGCGAAGGCGGGUGCUGGGCUGACACUGACGCUGAAGCGCGAAAGCUAGGGGAGCGAACGGG
This 253-nucleotide ribosomal RNA is filed under the name uncultured bacterium. Its description in RNAcentral is "partial 16S ribosomal RNA". It matches the Rfam family "Bacterial small subunit ribosomal RNA", at positions 524 to 776 of the family's 1533-position model. The record is from RNAcentral.